AACCUUUUAUAGUUCAUAAGUCUGAUGACUGGGUUUUUACACUCAUGUGUGAGAUGUACCUCCCUCAAACCUUGGUACAAUGUUGGCACAUUAUCCAUCAGACU
Small nucleolar RNA from Lemur catta (Ring-tailed lemur), 104 nucleotides. RefSeq annotates it as small nucleolar RNA U13. The transcript has a single exon. The record is from RefSeq and is a predicted model, not a curated record. NCBI's taxonomy places the organism in Eukaryota, Metazoa, Chordata, Mammalia, Primates, Lemuridae.